RNAcentral lists this ribosomal RNA (426 nucleotides) under uncultured bacterium. RNAcentral's name for it is "bacterial SSU rRNA". It matches the Rfam family "Bacterial small subunit ribosomal RNA", at positions 355 to 771 of the family's 1533-position model. The record is from RNAcentral.
UGGGGAAUAUUGCGCAAUGGACGAAAGUCUGACGCAGCGACGCCGCGUGUGGGAGGAAGCUCUUCGGGGUGUAAACCACAGUCAGAGGGGAAGAACGGCGUCUGGUCGAACAGGCCAGGCGAUUGACGGUACCCUCAAAGGAAGCGCCGGCUAACUACGUGCCAGCAGCCGCGGUAAAACGUAGGAGGCGAACGUUAUCCGGAUUUACUGGGCGUAAAGCGCGUGCAGGUGGUCUGUUAAGUCGUGCGUGAAAGCUCCCUGGCUCAACCGGGAGAGGUCGUGCGAUACUGACAGACUGGAGACAGAGAGAGGCAAGUGGAAUUCCGGGUGUAGUGGUGAAAUGCGUAGAUAUCCGGAGGAACACCAGUGGCGAAGGCGGCUUGCUGGCUCUGUUCUGACACUCAGACGCGAAAGCAUGGGGAGCGA